UAGAUGAUUCUGAUCCCUUCUUCUCCAAAGGGCCAGAAAUAAUCAGCAGCACAGGGUGUGAGAUCUACUGGAAAGAUGGUAAAGAGCUCACCCUGAAAACCCUGAAGCUGCAGAAAUGUGAGGGCCCUGAAGGUGUCGCACCAACCUCUAGGAAGGUGCCCAGCUAUUCUUUCUUCACCUACUUCUCUCCUCCCUGGGGGUAGAGUACUGGAUGUGGCUACUGAGUAUAAAUUGGGUUAUUUUUUUCCGUGAAGUUCCGGUCCCAAAGUCUGUAUUAUACUUCACGAAAGAAGCGAGUGAUUAUCAGUAUGAAGAGUCUGAUGAAGAGGUCCAAGAAGCUGAAGGUGAGGAGGAGGACAGCGAUAAAAAACCAGAAGAAGGACCUGGAAAGGACCUGGACCCAGCAGAGGACAGCCCGGGAGAACCCAGGCCUAGACUCUGCUGCUGAUUUUAAGUUGGGAUAUUUUUCCCACCAACUUUUGACCCCAAAGUCUGCAUCAUUCUGCCCUAAUGAUGAGGGUGAGGAUCAGUAUGAAAACUCUGAUGAAGAGGAAGAGGAUGGAAAUGAAAAACCUGGAGAAGGACUCUAAAUGGAUGUGGUCUCAGCAAAGGGCAGCUCUGGAUAAUACAGUGGGAAGGCAUAGAAAGAAGGAGACAGCAAAAGAAAAGAUGAAUUUGUUCUUCACGGAUAUUCUUGUUUUCAUUAGCCUAAAAUACUGAUUUUGUUUCAAGGUUUCAACACCCCAAAGUGAUAUUAACUACUGACAUCUGACUUUACUCUUACCUUUUACAGAUAAUUUGAUAGUAUUGUUCACAUUGGAAAUAAAAGCUUGUUUGAAAGUAAUAAGCUGUAGUUU
Bos indicus x Bos taurus (hybrid cattle) is the source of this 857-nucleotide long non-coding RNA. The record is from Ensembl. NCBI's taxonomy places the organism in Eukaryota, Metazoa, Chordata, Mammalia, Artiodactyla, Bovidae.